RNAcentral lists this ribosomal RNA (496 nucleotides) under uncultured bacterium. Its description in RNAcentral is "partial 16S ribosomal RNA". It matches the Rfam family "Bacterial small subunit ribosomal RNA", at positions 28 to 523 of the family's 1533-position model. The record is from RNAcentral.
GAUGAACGCUAGCGGCAGGCUUAACACAUGCAAGUCGAGGGGCAGCACGGCUUCGGAUGGUGGCGACCGGCGCACGGGCGCGUAACGCGUAUACAAUCUACCUUUUACAGGGGCAUAGCCCGGGGAAACCUGGAUUAAUAUCCCAUGGUACCAAGACAUGGCAUCAUGAUUUGAUGACAGUUUCGGCGGUAAAAGAUGGGUAUGCGUUCUAUUAGCUAGAAGGUAAGGUAACGGCUUACCAUGGCUACGAUAGGUCGGGGUCCUGAGAGGGAGAUCCCCCACACUGGUACUGAGACACGGACCAGACUCCUACGGGAGGCAGCAGUGAGGAAUAUUGGACAAUGGGCGAGAGCCUGAUCCAGCCAUGCCGCGUGCAGGAAGACUGCCCUAUGGGUUGUAAACUGCUUUUAUACGGGAAGAAACACCUCCACGCGUGGAGGCUUGACGGUACCGUAUGAAUAAGGAUCGGCUAACUCCGUGCCAGCCGCCGCGGUAA